GCUAACUCCGGGCAAGCAGCCGCGGUAAUACGGAGGGUGCAAGCGUUAUCCGGAUUCACUGGGUUUAAAGGGUGCGUAGGCGGACAGGUAAGUCAGUGGUGAAAUCUCUGGGCUUAACUCAGAAACUGCCGUUGAUACUAUUUGUCUUGAAUAUUCUGGAGGUAAGCGGAAUAUGUCAUGUAGCGGUGAAAUGCUUAGAUAUGACAUAGAACACCGAUAGCGAAGGCAGCUUACUACAGAAUGAUUGACGCUGAGGCACGAAAGCGUGGGGAGCAAACAGGAUUAGAUACCCCGGUAGUC
RNAcentral lists this ribosomal RNA (300 nucleotides) under uncultured Methanomassiliicoccus sp. RNAcentral's name for it is "bacterial SSU rRNA". It matches the Rfam family "Bacterial small subunit ribosomal RNA", at positions 496 to 795 of the family's 1533-position model. Lineage: Archaea; Methanobacteriati; Thermoplasmatota; Thermoplasmata; Methanomassiliicoccales; Methanomassiliicoccaceae. The record is from RNAcentral.